GCCUCAGAAAGCAUCCCAGAGCCCCUCCACCCUCCAACAGAUGUCACCUUAAAGCCAGACACAGAAGCUGUGCAGGGCAAGCACAGCAACACUGGCCCCACGUCUCUCAGAAAGGUCAUCCUGUCAGCACUGGGGGCCCAAGAACUCCUCAACUCGCUGCACUCCUACUGCUUCUGCUCCCGGGGGAACAGGAGCACAGGUGCCGCCUGUGGGAGCAGGUGGAGAAGAAUGGCGAGCUGAAGAGGGGCAGCCGCCGACAGCCAGGUGCACACGCUGCAGGAGGAGCUGGACGAGCUGAAGGGAGGGGGCUCCCUUCCUUAGCAGCCUGCUGCCCCCAGCCGAGUUUGGUGGCAGCAGUGGGAUCCAAAGGAGACAUCUGAUGGCUUAGGGGAUGAGAAACACAGGCAUUGGUACCCGCAAAACCUUUGAGUUCUCCAUCUUUGUCAAUGAUUCUGAGAGCCGUGGAGUCAGCUCCAGAGUUUCAGCCAGCAGCAGAAGCAGAGCUGUGGGCAGUGGUGGAGGUAGAGCUGGCUCCAGCUCCGUUGACACCACACCCUCUAGCACUGGAGCCAGUGUCCCCUCUACCAGCAGUGUUGGAGGUGGAGCAAGGGCCAACAUGGGCUCCAGCAGGAGUGGGAGCUGCUGAGUUGGAGUCACCUGGACCAUCAUUUCUAGUGGGAAGUCCAUCUCCACCUGUGGCUAAGAAGUGUGAGAAGAAGCCCAACCUACGGCCUUCCCUCCUAAGCUGGUGGUGGAGCAGUUGACUGUGAUGGAUGCGAGCGUAGAGGUGGACACUAAC
Diceros bicornis minor is the source of this 799-nucleotide long non-coding RNA. RefSeq lists it as uncharacterized. The record is from RefSeq and is a predicted model, not a curated record. The transcript has 4 exons. Lineage: Eukaryota; Metazoa; Chordata; Mammalia; Perissodactyla; Rhinocerotidae.